This 41-nucleotide small RNA is filed under the name Arabidopsis thaliana (thale cress). Its description in RNAcentral is "ATSL064240". The record is from RNAcentral. Lineage: Eukaryota; Viridiplantae; Streptophyta; Magnoliopsida; Brassicales; Brassicaceae.
ACUUCCUCCGUUGAAUUCACCGUCCUCUCUUCAAAUCUAGC